Long non-coding RNA from Oryzias latipes (Japanese medaka), 799 nucleotides. RefSeq lists it as uncharacterized. The record is from RefSeq and is a predicted model, not a curated record. NCBI's taxonomy places the organism in Eukaryota, Metazoa, Chordata, Actinopteri, Beloniformes, Adrianichthyidae.
UGGAUUGCUUUUUCUUUUUGCAGCUUCAUUUUGAUAACGAAUAAGCAUUUCUGGUACUUUAUUUUUAAUUGUGCUAUAGAAACACUUCUAUAAAGGGGUGCUGGCAUCUUAAUGCAGAAAAUCAUCUAUUGUGUAAAUGUAAUUUCAGCUAAUUGACCGGUUUGCCUUUCGGCUUCAGCCCAUCAACCCUGCAGUUCUGGAGACUUUGACUUUUCAAACGUAAACUUCAGAAGAUUCAUCAAACGUGUUUUUCAUAGAGACUCAGCUGCACACAUCUCCAAAGAGCAGAUCUCUGCUGAAGUUUGGUGCCAUCAUGCAAACGUCUCAGCAGGUUUUCAGAAGACGGCGGCGUUUCAUCCGAGAUAAAUUAGAGGAUGAACAGUCAGCGCUGCAACCAAAACCACCCGUUUAGUGAAGCAAACCUAGAGCAGUUCAGUCUGAACCUGAUAGACCACAGCUGACGCUUCUUUAGGAUGGAGGAGACACAGAAAAAAAGAGAAGGAACCACUGGAGUAGGAGCAAAUGCCUCCUGAAGUUUCAUCGUCCUGAACAGACUCACACGUGGAACAUGUUGGCCACAGCGGCGGCGUCCAGAGCUGCUGCUGAACUCAGCGUUUUGUCACCCAGAAGAAUCACCAGGGGGAAUUCCAGACGUAAUAAAAUAAGAUUUUCAUUUUAUUGUCUUUAUGAACAUUUAAAAAACCAAACUCGUACAUAAUGAACUGUGAGCCACCGGGCGGCCAUGCUACGUUCUGCAUUUACAAAGAGAAGCCACUAAGAGAAGUAAAAGAAAAAAAAA